UACGGGGGGGGGCAAGCGUUGUUCGGAAUUACUGGGCGUAAAGGGCUCGUAGGCGGCCAACUAAGUCGGAUGUGAAAUCCCCCAGGCUCAACUUGGGAACUGCAUCCGAUACUGGAUGGCUUGAAUUCGGGAGAGGGAUGCAGAAUUCCAGGUGUAGCGGUGAAAUGCGUAGAUAUCUGGAGGAAUACCGGUGGCGAAGGCGGCAUCCUGGACCGACAUUGACGCUGAGGAGCGAAAAGCUAGGGGGAGCAAACGGG
RNAcentral lists this ribosomal RNA (257 nucleotides) under uncultured bacterium. Its description in RNAcentral is "partial 16S ribosomal RNA". It matches the Rfam family "Bacterial small subunit ribosomal RNA", at positions 524 to 776 of the family's 1533-position model. The record is from RNAcentral.